CCCAGGAUGGCCGAGUGGUUAUGGCAUCAGACUGCUGAUCUAGGAGUGUUUCAAAUCGCAGGUUCGAAUCCUGCUCCUGGGA
Nephila pilipes (giant wood spider) is the source of this 82-nucleotide non-coding RNA. The record is from the annotation of a GenBank genome assembly. Lineage: Eukaryota; Metazoa; Arthropoda; Arachnida; Araneae; Nephilidae.